AAUUCGCCCUUAGAGUUUGAUCCUGGCUCAGGACGAACGCUGGCGGCGCGCCUAACACAUGCAAGUCGAACGGGACUAUGCAAGAUGAAGUUUUCGGAUGGAAUUUUGUAUAGUUUAGUGGCGGACGGGUGAGUAACACGUGAGCAACCUGCCUUCGAGAGGGGAAUAACGGCUGGAAACGGUCGCUAAUACCGCAUAACAUACAGGAGGGACAUCCCUUUUGUAUCAAAGAUUUAUCGCUCGAAGAUGGGCUCGCGUCCGAUUAGGUAGUUGGUGAGGUAAUGGCCCACCAAGCCGACGAUCGGUAGCCGGACUGAGAGGUUGAACGGCCACAUUGGGACUGAGACACGGCCCAGACUCCUACGGGAGGCAGCAGUGGGGGAUAUUGCACAAUGGGGGAAACCCUGAUGCAGCGACGCCGCGUGUAGGAAGACGGUCCUCUGGAUUGUAAACUACUGUCCCCAGGGACGAAGAUGACGGUACCUGGGGAGGAAGCUCCGGCUAACUACGUGCCAGCAGCCGCGGUAAUACGUAGGGAGCGAGCGUUGUCCGGAAUUACUGGGUGUAAAGGGAGCGUAGGCGGGGAUGCAAGUUGGGUGUUAAAUCUACCGGCUCAACUGGUAGUCGCACUCAAAACUGCAGCUCUUGAGUGAAGUAGAGGCAGGCGGAAUUCCUAGUGUAGCGGUGAAAUGCGUAGAUAUUAGGAGGAACACCAGUGGCGAAGGCGGCCUGCUGGGCUUUUACUGACGCUGAGGCUCGAAAGUGUGGGGAGCAAACAGGAUUAGAUACCCUGGUAGUCCACACCGUAAAC
RNAcentral lists this ribosomal RNA (811 nucleotides) under uncultured bacterium. RNAcentral describes it as "bacterial SSU rRNA". It matches the Rfam family "Bacterial small subunit ribosomal RNA", at positions 1 to 807 of the family's 1533-position model. The record is from RNAcentral.